GAUGAACGCUGGCGGCGUGCCUAAUACAUGCAAGUCGAGCGAACGGACGAGAAGCUUGCUUCUCUGAUGUUAGCGGCGGACGGGUGAGUAACACGUGGAUAACCUACCUAUAAGACUGGGAUAACUUCGGGAAACCGGAGCUAAUACCGGAUGAUAUUUUGAACCGCAUGGUUCAAAAGUGAAAGACGGUCUUGCUGUCACUUAUAGAUGGAUCCGCGCUGCAUUAGCUAGUUGGUAAGGUAACGGCUUACCAAGGCAACGAUGCAUAGCCGACCUGAGAGGGUGAUCGGCCACACUGGAACUGAGAGACGGUCCAGACUCCUACGGGAGGCAGCAGUAGGGAAUCUUCCGCAAUGGGCGAAAGCCUGACGGAGCAACGCCGCGUGAGUGAUGAAGGUCUUCGGAUCGUAAAACUCUGUUAUUAGGGAAGAACAUAUGUGUAAGUAACUGUGCACAUCUUGACGGUACCUAAUCAGAAAGCCACGGCUAACUACGUG
Molecule: ribosomal RNA, 497 nt
Filed under: uncultured bacterium
Lineage: Bacteria
Description: partial 16S ribosomal RNA
Rfam family: Bacterial small subunit ribosomal RNA
Source: RNAcentral